AUACGUAGGGGACGAGCGUUGUCCGGAAUUACUGGGCGUAAAGGGCGCGCAGGCGGAUAUUUAAGUCAGCUGUAAAAGGCAUGAGCUCAACUCAUGUAUGCGGUUGAAACUGGGUAUCUAGAGUGCUGGAGAGGUAGGCGGAAUUCCCGGUGUAGCGGUGAAAUGCGUAGAUAUCGGGAAGAACACCAGUGGCGAAGGCGGGUUACUGGCCAGCAACUGACGCUGAAGCGCGAAAGCCAGGGGAGCAAACGGGAUUAGAGACCCCGGUAGUCCUGGCAGUAAACGAUGUAUGCUGGGUGUGGGAGUAGCGAUACCUCCGUGCCGAAGUUAACGCGAUAAGCAUACCGCCUGGGGAGUACGGUCGCAAGAUUGAAACUCAAAGGAAUUGGCGGGG
RNAcentral lists this ribosomal RNA (394 nucleotides) under uncultured bacterium. Its description in RNAcentral is "partial 16S ribosomal RNA". It matches the Rfam family "Bacterial small subunit ribosomal RNA", at positions 523 to 918 of the family's 1533-position model. The record is from RNAcentral.